UACGUAGGCAGCAAGCGUUGUUCGGAAUUACUGGGCGUAAAGAGUGUGUAGGCGGUGUUCUAAGUUUGUCGUGAAAUCUCCCGGCUUAACUGGGAGGGUGCGGCGAAAACUUGGAAAUGCUAGAGGAUGGGAGAGGUAAGCGGAAUUCCUGGUGUAGCGGUGAAAUGCGUAGAUAUCAGGAGGAACACCUGUGGUGUAGACAGCUUACUGGACCAUUUCUGACGCUGAGACACGAAAGCGUGGGUAGCAAACAGG
This 255-nucleotide ribosomal RNA is filed under the name uncultured bacterium. RNAcentral's name for it is "partial 16S ribosomal RNA". It matches the Rfam family "Bacterial small subunit ribosomal RNA", at positions 524 to 776 of the family's 1533-position model. The record is from RNAcentral.